CUUUUCUUAUCAGUUAAAUAUCUGAUACAUCCUCAGUGUGAGGACUUUAUAUUAAAUGUAUUUUUGGGACUGGGAGAUGGACUCUGAGCUUGUUCCAUCCACUCCAUGCAUCGGCCUGGUAUUGUAGUAAUGCUAAUUGUUGC
This 143-nucleotide small nuclear RNA is filed under the name Crocodylus porosus (Australian saltwater crocodile). RNAcentral describes it as "U2 spliceosomal RNA (ENSCPRG00005002232.1)". It matches the Rfam family "U2 spliceosomal RNA", at positions 40 to 185 of the family's 192-position model. Rfam says of the family: U2 is a small nuclear RNA (snRNA) component of the spliceosome (involved in pre-mRNA splicing). Complementary binding between U2 snRNA (in an area lying towards the 5' end but 3' to hairpin I) and the branchpoint sequence (BPS) of the intron results the bulging out of an unpaired adenosine, on the BPS, which initiates a nucleophilic attack at the intronic 5' splice site, thus starting the first of two transesterification reactions that mediate splicing. The record is from RNAcentral. Lineage: Eukaryota; Metazoa; Chordata; Crocodylia; Crocodylidae.